This is a long non-coding RNA of Spea bombifrons (plains spadefoot toad), 116 nucleotides long. RefSeq lists it as uncharacterized. The record is from RefSeq and is a predicted model, not a curated record. Lineage: Eukaryota; Metazoa; Chordata; Amphibia; Anura; Pelobatidae. The transcript has 2 exons.
GCGGACUUCCAGAACUCAGACACUAGGCCCUAGCGUAAAUUGGCUACACCGGCGGAGGUAGCAGACGUUGCCACACCACAAACACGUGCAACCAGGGGGAGAAACUACCUUAAACA